Molecule: ribosomal RNA, 468 nt
Filed under: uncultured bacterium
Lineage: Bacteria
Description: partial 16S ribosomal RNA
Rfam family: Bacterial small subunit ribosomal RNA
Source: RNAcentral
GACGAACGCUGGCGGCGUGCUUAACACAUGCAAGUCGAACGGAAAGGCCCUGCUUUUGUGGGGUGCUCGAGUGGCGAACGGGUGAGUAACACGUGAGUAACCUGCCCUUGACUUUGGGAUAACUUCAGGAAACUGGGGCUAAUACCGGAUAGGAGCUCCUGCUGCAUGGUGGGGGUUGGAAAGUUUCGGCGGUUGGGGAUGGACUCGCGGCUUAUCAGCUUGUUGGUGGGGUAGUGGCUUACCAAGGCUUUGACGGGUAGCCGGCCUGAGAGAGUGACCGGCCAAAAUGGGACUGAGAUACGGCCCAGACUACUACGGGAAGCAGCAGUGGGGAAUGUUGCACAAUGGGCGGAAGACUGAUGCAGCAACGCCGCGUGCGGGAUGACGGCCUUCGGGUUGUAAACCGAUUUCGACUGUGACGAAGCGUGAGUGACGGUAAUGGGUAAAGAAGCACCGGCUAACUACGUG